GGGGGAUAACAGUUGGAAACGACUGCUAAUACCGCAUAAUGUCUUCGGACCAAACGGGGCUUCGGCUCCGGCGCAAAGAGAGGCCCAAGUGAGAUUAGCUAGUUGGUAAGGUAACGGCUUACCAAGGCGACGAUCUCUAGCUGUUCUGAGAGGAAGAUCAGCCACACUGGGACUGAGACACGGCCCAGACUCCUACGGGAGGCAGCAGUGGGGAAUAUUGCACAAUGGGGGAAACCCUGAUGCAGCCAUGCCGCGUGUGUGAAGAAGGCCUUCGGGUUGUAAAGCACUUUCAGUUGUGAGGAAAAGUUAGUAGUUAAUACCUGCUAGCCGUGACGUUAACAACAGAAGAAGCACCGGCUAACUCCGUGCCAGCAGCCGCGGUAAUACGGAGGGUGCGAGCGUUAAUCGGAAUUACUGGGCGUAAAGCGCACGCAGGCGGUUUGUUAAGCUAGAUGUGAAAGCCCCGGGCUCAACCUGGGAUGGUCAUUUAGAACUGGCAGACUAGAGUCUUGGAGAGGGGAGUGGAAUUCCAGGUGUAGCGGUGAAAUGCGUAGAUAUCUGGAGGAACAUCAGUGGCGAAGGCGACUCCCUGGCCAAAGACUGACGCUCAUGUGCGAAAGUGUGGGUAGCGAACAGGAUUAGAUACCCUGGUAGUCCACACCGUAAACGCUGUCUACUAGC
RNAcentral lists this ribosomal RNA (681 nucleotides) under alpha proteobacterium 7PSW-3. RNAcentral describes it as "bacterial SSU rRNA". It matches the Rfam family "Bacterial small subunit ribosomal RNA", at positions 138 to 820 of the family's 1533-position model. The record is from RNAcentral. Lineage: Bacteria; Pseudomonadati; Pseudomonadota; Alphaproteobacteria.